GACGUGAGGGGCAAACGUUGUUCGGUGUCACUGGGCUUAAAGAGCGCGUAGGCGGCUGUGCAAGUAAGGUGUGAAAGCCCUCGGCUUACCCGAGGAAGUGCGCCUUAAACUGCAUGGCUUGAGGGCCAGAGGGGUAGGAGGAACUCCAGGUGUAGCGGUGAAAUGCGUAGAUAUCUGGGGGAAGGCCGAUGGCGAAGGCAUCCUACUGGCUGGUUUCUGACGCUGAGGCGCGAAAGCGUGGGGAGCGAACAGGAUUAGAACCGUACCGU
This 269-nucleotide ribosomal RNA is filed under the name uncultured bacterium. RNAcentral describes it as "partial 16S ribosomal RNA". It matches the Rfam family "Bacterial small subunit ribosomal RNA", at positions 524 to 789 of the family's 1533-position model. The record is from RNAcentral.